GAAGGCAUGGCCGAGUGGUAAGGCGGGGGACUGCACAUCCUUUUCCCUAGUUCAAAUCUGAGUGUCGCCU
This 70-nucleotide transfer RNA is filed under the name Turnera subulata. It matches the Rfam family "tRNA". From Rfam's summary of the family: Transfer RNA (tRNA) molecules are approximately 80 nucleotides in length. Their secondary structure includes four short double-helical elements and three loops (D, anti-codon, and T loops). Further hydrogen bonds mediate the characteristic L-shaped molecular structure. tRNAs have two regions of fundamental functional importance: the anti-codon, which is responsible for specific mRNA codon recognition, and the 3' end, to which the tRNAs corresponding amino acid is attached (by aminoacyl-tRNA synthetases). tRNAs cope with the degeneracy of the genetic code in two manners: having more than one tRNA (with a specific anti-codon) for a particular amino acid; and 'wobble' base-pairing, i.e. permitting non-standard base-pairing at the 3rd anti-codon position. The record is from Rfam by way of RNAcentral. Lineage: Eukaryota; Viridiplantae; Streptophyta; Magnoliopsida; Malpighiales; Passifloraceae.